CACACACGUAUAGAGAGGGAGAGAGAAAUCCUCCUUUUCUCUCUCUAGAUAUCUCCCUACUCUCUGUCUCUUUUUCCCACAUUCGGAGCUUGGCAGAAAGCGGGCUUGGAAACGCGUGUGGGGCGACGGAUCGAGCCUUCAUGCGCCCGGUUGAGCGGCGUCUUUUCAACUCGGCGUUCGCAAUUUGGUGAGAGAGGAACCCUUGAAGACCCUAGGUUGCGGAUCAGCGUGCGGUUGGUGGUUGGUAGCAAGCUCGGGUCGAACCGGACAACAAGUGCCGCGGGAAGCCGAUUGCAAGUGUCGACAAGUAAUCGGAGAACGUUAUAAGGUUCACACCUGAGAGGCGCGGUGGCGCGAGGAAAGGGCG
Molecule: long non-coding RNA, 367 nt
Organism: Ananas comosus (pineapple)
Lineage: Eukaryota; Viridiplantae; Streptophyta; Magnoliopsida; Poales; Bromeliaceae
Exons: 3
Source: RefSeq, a predicted model, not a curated record